CUUGGCGACCAUAGCGCUUUGGACCCACCUGACUCCAUGCCGAACUCAGUAGUGAAACGAAGCAGCGCCGAUGGUAGUGUGGGGUCUCCCCAUGUGAGRGUAGGACAUCGCCAGGC
RNAcentral lists this ribosomal RNA (116 nucleotides) under Salinivibrio sp. IB870. The record is from RNAcentral. Lineage: Bacteria; Pseudomonadati; Pseudomonadota; Gammaproteobacteria; Vibrionales; Vibrionaceae.